This 398-nucleotide ribosomal RNA is filed under the name uncultured Morganella. RNAcentral describes it as "bacterial SSU rRNA". It matches the Rfam family "Bacterial small subunit ribosomal RNA", at positions 30 to 422 of the family's 1533-position model. Lineage: Eukaryota; Fungi; Basidiomycota; Agaricomycetes; Agaricales; Lycoperdaceae. The record is from RNAcentral.
AUUGAACGCUGGCGGCAGGCCUAACACAUGCAAGUCGGGCGGUAACAGGGAGAAGCUUGCUUCUCUGCUGACGAGCGGCGGACGGGUGAGUAAUGUAUGGGGAUCUGCCUGAUGGAGGGGGAUAACUACUGGAAACGGUAGCUAAUACCGCAUAAUGUCCACGGACCAAAGCGGGGGACCUUCGGGCCUCGCACCAUCAGAUGAACCCAUAUGGGAUUAGCUAGUAGGUAAGGUAACGGCUUACCUAGGCGACGAUCCCUAGCUGGUCUGAGAGGAUGGUCAGCCACACUGGGACUGAGACACGGCCCAGACUCCUACGGGAGGCAGCAGUGGGGAAUAUUGCACAAUGGGCGCAAGCCUGAUGCAGCCAUGCCGCGUGUAUGAAGAAGGCCUGGUGU